RNAcentral lists this ribosomal RNA (253 nucleotides) under uncultured bacterium. Its description in RNAcentral is "partial 16S ribosomal RNA". It matches the Rfam family "Bacterial small subunit ribosomal RNA", at positions 524 to 776 of the family's 1533-position model. The record is from RNAcentral.
UACGUAGGGUGCAAGCGUUAUCCGGAAUUAUUGGGCGUAAAGAGCUCGUAGGCGGUUUGUCGCGUCUGCUGUGAAAACCCGAGGCUCAACCUCGGGCCUGCAGUGGGUACGGGCAGACUAGAGUGCGGUAGGGGAGAUUGGAAUUCCUGGUGUAGCGGUGGAAUGCGCAGAUAUCAGGAGGAACACCGAUGGCGAAGGCGGCAUUCUGGACCGAAACUGACGCUGAGGCGCGAAAGCGUGGGGAGCAAACAGG